UGCAGUCGAACGGCAGCACAGAGGAGCUUGCUCCUUGGGUGGCGAGUGGCGGACGGGUGAGGAAUACAUCGGAAUCUACUCUGUCGUGGGGGAUAACGUAGGGAAACUUACGCUAAUACCGCAUACGACCUACGGGUGAAAGCAGGGGAUCUUCGGACCUUGCGCGAUUGAAUGAGCCGAUGUCGGAUUAGCUAGUUGGCGGGGUAAAGGCCCACCAAGGCGACGAUCCGUAGCUGGUCUGAGAGGAUGAUCAGCCACACUGGAACUGAGACACGGUCCAGACUCCUACGGGAGGCAGCAGUGGGGAAUAUUGGACAAUGGGCGCAAGCCUGAUCCAGCCAUACCGCGUGGGUGAAGAAGGCCUUCGGGUUGUAAAGCCCUUUUGUUGGGAAAGAAAUCCAGCCGGCUAAUACCUGGUUGGGAUGACGGUACCCAAAGAAUAAGCACCGGCUAACUUCGUGCCAGCAGCCGCGGUAAU
Molecule: ribosomal RNA, 478 nt
Filed under: uncultured bacterium
Lineage: Bacteria
Description: bacterial SSU rRNA
Rfam family: Bacterial small subunit ribosomal RNA
Source: RNAcentral